GACGAACGCUGGCGGCGUGCCUAAUACAUGCAAGUCGAGCGCAGGAAACCGUCUGAACCCUUCGGGGGGACGACGGUGGAAUGAGCGGCGGACGGGUGAGUAACACGUAAAGAACCUGCCCAUAGGUCUGGGAUAACCACGAGAAAUCGGGGCUAAUACCGGAUGUGUCAUCGGACCGCAUGGUCCGCUGAUGAAAGGCGCUUCGGCGUCGCCCAUGGAUGGCUUUGCGGUGCAUUAGCUAGUUGGUGGGGUAAUGGCCCACCAAGGCGACGAUGCACAGCGGAACUGAGAGGGUGAUCGGCCACACUGGGACUGAGACACGGCCAAGACUCCUACGGGAGGCAGCAGGAGGGAAGCUUCCACAAUGGACGAGAGUCUGAUGGAGCAACGCCGCGUGAACGAUGAAGGCUUUCGGGUCGUAAAGUUCUGUUGUAAGGGAAGAACAAGUGCCGCAGGCAAUGGCGGCACCUUGACGGUACCUUGCGAGAAAGCCACGGCUAACUACGUGCCAGCCGCCACCGUAA
This 524-nucleotide ribosomal RNA is filed under the name uncultured bacterium. RNAcentral describes it as "partial 16S ribosomal RNA". It matches the Rfam family "Bacterial small subunit ribosomal RNA", at positions 28 to 523 of the family's 1533-position model. The record is from RNAcentral.